GACGAACGCUGGCGGCGUGCUUAACACAUGCAAGUCGAACGGUGAAGGGACUGGUUUUGCUGGUCCUGGAUGAGUGGCGAACGGGUGAGUAACACGUGAGUAACCUGCCCCCUUCUUCUGGGUAACCGCAUGAAAGUGUGGCUAAUACGGGAUAUUCUGGGUCUGUCGCAUGGUGGGCCUGGGAAAGAUUGCGCCUUUUUUGGUGUUUUUGGUGGGGGAUGGGCUCGCGGCCUAUCAGCUUGUUGGUGGGGUGAUGGCCUACCAAGGCGGUGACGGGUAGCCGGCCUGAGAGGGUGGACGGUCACACUGGGACUGAGACACGGCCCAGACUCCUACGGGAGGCAGCAGUGGGGAAUAUUGCACAAUGGGCGCAAGCCUGAUGCAGCGACGCCGCGUGAGGGAUGGAGGCCUUCGGGUUGUGAACCUCUUUCGCCAGUGAAGCAGGCCUGCCUCUUUUUGUGGGUGGGUUGACGGUAGCUGGAUAAGAAGCGCCGGCUAACUACGUG
Molecule: ribosomal RNA, 506 nt
Filed under: uncultured bacterium
Lineage: Bacteria
Description: partial 16S ribosomal RNA
Rfam family: Bacterial small subunit ribosomal RNA
Source: RNAcentral